This 1693-nucleotide long non-coding RNA is filed under the name Sorghum bicolor (sorghum). RNAcentral's name for it is "long non-coding RNA (SBIC_LNC012688)". The record is from RNAcentral. Lineage: Eukaryota; Viridiplantae; Streptophyta; Magnoliopsida; Poales; Poaceae.
AUCGGUCAAAUCCUAAAGAGUUUUGAGGAUGAAGGAACAAAAAGAAACAACAAAAAAAGGGGGGGUACUCAGUAAAAAGAAUUGCAGAUGAACAGGAGUACAGCAAAAGUACAAAAAGGAUAUGGUAGGCUAACCUCAGGAACGACGAAGUUGAUGUCCAUUUCUUCCCAAGGGAGAAGAGAGAUCGAAGACUUGGAAGAUUGAUGGAGAAGGCCCUUGCUGGAGUUCUUGGGGUUCUCAGGCAAUGCCGCCGCCACGAAGGUGGAUUUGAGGCUGUAGAAUGACGAGAUGGAGAAAGAGUACCAGAGAAGGAAGUAUUUAUAGGACAAAAUGGGCAGGGGCAAAUCUGACUUAUCUCUUUGCCGCAUCCAUGAAAUCCGAGGGUGUUUAGGUAGAUAUGGUAGCUGUUCGCACGAUAAUCGAGGGAUUGCGCAGGUGAUUUGACAGCAAGCGGUCACGAUUUUGAAGAUAUCUUACUGUGUAAGAUCACCUAGUCGGUCCAUCGGUAGUUUUCUCUAACGGUAAUAUUGCCGAUGAGCACAUUCUGGGGAGAUUCGGUUCGAGAAGUUGAGGAAUUCAAGAGGUUGUUUAGAUUUGAUAAUUAAUUAUCAAUCCAGGGAAGUAAUUGCGGAAAGGUAUCAUUACUGAGGAGAAUUUCGGAGCAUUAAUGAUUUUAUACUCCGAAAUUGGGGGGCAUGUGUUGACACCGUUUUUGGACACGUAUCUUUGGGCACGCGUCUUGAGUUAAUAAGAUGUAGAUCGGCAGGUGGAAGAGUAGUGACUAGUCUACAGGAGAGUUGCCGAUGAGGGUUGAUGCUGAUGGAAAAGCAGCCAAAUACAACUAAAUCCAAGGGUGGUGAUGCGUUCAUACCGAUGGCCAAUGCUGGUGGUUGCCGAUAGCUAUGAAGGGCAGUUUGCCGAUAACUCUGAAGAAAGCGCAGGGGUUGCCGAUUGACUCAGGAUGGGAUGCCGAUUGAUCAUGGAGGAUAGUUUAGCGUUUUCCUUAGUUAUUAGAAUUCGUUUUGUAUACGGGUUCCGUUUAAUUUGGAAUUCGAGUCCUAGUCGUGUCUGUUUGUAGCUCUUUGGACAGGGUAUAAAUGUAGACCCUAGGGCAAUGUACUGAAUCAUCUAUCAAUCAAUUAAACACAAGUUUUUACUCAUAUUCCAGCAUCUACUUUUUUCGACCACUUUGUCAUAUUUUCUUUUUACUACGAGUUCUUAAGAAUUCGUCGAGUCAAUCUCAGCGUGUUCUCAAGUUCCGCGUGAACACCUCUUGGCCGUGACAUCCGGACGCAUCGCUGUUGUCGGAACCAAAGUGUUUGAGUUACCACCUUCGUCGAUUGUAAGGUCAAAUCGGCUGGCACGCCUUAACGUUGAAUUGGGUAUUAGCCCUUUGUGUUUGCAGAUCAGAUUUUGCACCAACAAAAGUCUUAAGCCAAUUAAUAUACUAGAAUAAUAUAUUAAAAAAUAGUACUAAAAAAUAAUACUAGAAUAAAAGUAAAAAACAAUAAUAUAUACAAAACACUACAAUUCAUAAUAUACUAGAAUAAUAUACUAAAAAGUCUUUUAAGUCAAAUAAUAUACUAGAAUAAUAUAUUAAAAAAAUAAUACUAAAAAAUAAUACUAAAAUAAUAGUACAAACAAUAAUAUAUACAAAACAUUAGAAAUUAAUAUAUAUAUAUAUAUUGCAGAC